GAAUAUUGGACAAUGGGGGGAACCCUGAUCCAGCCAUGCCGCGAGUGUGAGCAAGGCCUGUUGGUUGUAAAGCACUUUAAGCGAGGAGGAGGCUACUCUAGUUAAUACCUAGAGAUAGUGGACGUUCCUCGCAGAAGAAGCACCGGCUAACGCUGUGCAAGCGGCCGCGGUAAUACAGAGGGUGCAAGCGUUAAUCGGAGUUACUGGGCGUAAAGCGCGCGUAGGUGGCCAAUUAAGUCAAAUGUGAAAUCCCCGAGCUUAACUUGGGAAUUGCAUUCGAUACUGGUUGGCUAGAGUAUGGGAGAGGAUGGUAGAAUUCCAGGUGUAGCGGUGAAAUGCGUAGAGAUCUGGAGGAAUACCGAUGGCGAAGGCAGCCAUCUGGCCUAAUACUGACACUGAGGUGCGAAAGCAUGGGGAGCAAACA
RNAcentral lists this ribosomal RNA (424 nucleotides) under uncultured bacterium. RNAcentral describes it as "bacterial SSU rRNA". It matches the Rfam family "Bacterial small subunit ribosomal RNA", at positions 359 to 774 of the family's 1533-position model. The record is from RNAcentral.